UUGCAGUCUGCCAACGAGGAAUCAAAAGCAGUCACAAAAGCAAGCGCCAUGAAAGCAAUCAAGCAGCGAAUGGAGAAAGACAUUGACCAAGUCGGCAAAAUUGCUCGUAUGGCGAAAACAAAAGUUGAUGAACUGGACAAAGAUAACUUAUCUAACAGGAAGAAACCUGGAUGCGAGGAGGACUCUGCGGUUGAUCGAUCAAGGGAACAGACUACUGGAGCAGUGAAAAAGAAACUGAAGAAACGGAUGGACGAUUUUCAGGUGUUGAGAGAAUCAAUCCGGCAGGAGUACCGGGAAGUCGUUGAAAGAAGGGUAUUCACUGUAACUGGUAAUCGCCCUGAUGAAGAGACAAUUGACGAUUUAAUCGAGACAGGGAGAAGCGAGCAGAUUUUCAAAGAUGCGGUUCAGCAGCAGGGGAGAGGCCAGGUAUUGGAGACUGUUGCUGAGAUACAGGAGCGGCAUGAUGCUGUAAGAGAUCUAGAGAGGAAGCUUCUGGAGUUGCAGCAGAUAUUCCUGGAUAUGGCGGUGUUGGUUGAGGCUCAAGGAGACAUGCUCAACCACAUAGAGACACAUGUUUCAAAUGCUACCAACCACAUACAGCAAGGCGUGGGUGCUCUCCAGAAGGCAAAGGCGCUUCAGAAGAACUCGAGAAAGUGGAUGUGCUACGCCAUCAUCCUUCUGCUGGUGGUAGUGGCUAUCGUCGUGCUCGGGGUGAUCCAGCCAUGGAAGAAGAAGUAA
This 738-nucleotide ribosomal RNA is filed under the name Triticum aestivum (bread wheat). RNAcentral describes it as "partial small subunit ribosomal RNA". The record is from RNAcentral. Lineage: Eukaryota; Viridiplantae; Streptophyta; Magnoliopsida; Poales; Poaceae.